AGGGAACUGACAUUCAGAGAUUCCUGGAGGAAGCCACCAUCUUGGACCCCAGAUUUAAAUACAAAGUGAAAAGUGAUGCAGUCUGGGACAGGAUCAGGGAAGCUGCAAUAACAGCAAAUACAGUGGCAGCAAGAGAUGAGCUCCCAGGGGAAGGAGAGACACAGAGGGAAGGCUGCGAAGAUGGGGAGGAGGAAGAAGUAGAGGAACACUAUGCACUGCCACCACCAUCAAAAAAGACAGCCUUGGAAGAACUAUUCGAGGAGGAGGACAACGAGCUGCAGUCAAUCCGUGAAUCACAGCCCCGUCUUUCCCUGGCUCAGAAGGUGGAUCAGGAAAUCCAGUUCUACAAAAGCCUGCCCUCCAUCCCCUGCAGGGAUAGCGCCGCACUGUGGUGGUGGAACAAGCAGGAUACGCUGCCCUUGCUAUCUGGACUGGCUGAAAACUACCUCUAUGUGCAGGCUUCCUCCACCCCAUCUGAGAGGGUGUUCUCCACGGCUGGAGACACCAUAAGCCCCGAAAGAUCCCGUAUCCUUCCAGAAAAAGCAGAUAUGCUCAUAUUUCUGCAAAAGAACUGUUAAUUUUCCCUACUACUACUUGAGUGCACACA
This is a long non-coding RNA of Eleginops maclovinus (Patagonian blennie), 607 nucleotides long. RefSeq lists it as uncharacterized. NCBI's taxonomy places the organism in Eukaryota, Metazoa, Chordata, Actinopteri, Perciformes, Eleginopidae. The record is from RefSeq and is a predicted model, not a curated record. The transcript has 3 exons.